RNA transcript from Lotus japonicus, 3924 nucleotides. RefSeq lists it as uncharacterized. Lineage: Eukaryota; Viridiplantae; Streptophyta; Magnoliopsida; Fabales; Fabaceae. The record is from RefSeq and is a predicted model, not a curated record. The transcript is spliced from 5 exons.
AGCAGCAUCUUCACUCUCUCUUCCAAUUUAUGUCUUCAACUCCACUCACACUCACCCCUAAAUCCCUAAUCAAAUCUCACUCAAAAUCUCUACAAUUCAUUGUUCAUCUAUCACAACAUCAACCAUUGGAUUGCAUAUCGACACCCUUGCGAUGACGAUAGUGAACGGCGACGGUGGCGGUGAUACCUCGGUGGUGCUUAGAAGAACGGCGGCAACCGCUGCAAGCCCAUCGGAGGAUAGUGUUCUUCCCUUGUGGUUAUCGUCUACGAGGAAUGUUCUCAUUGUUGAAUGCCUUUAAGAAAAUGAGAGAGAGGGGUUUUGGGGAUUUUGGGUUGGGUAGAGACAGUUUCAUCAGCGACCAGUUGAUGAGGCUACUGCUGGUAAUGCAAAAAAAUUCAUCAGGGACAAAGGUUCAAACUUGCUUCCAGGUUCAUGCUACUUCUAAAUGAACACUUACAAGUUUGCAGAGAGAGCAUAAAGCCUUCUGCAUUCCUUGAAGCAGCAUCUUUGGAGUGUUGAGGUCCAAGGUUCGUGGUUACAUCACGGACAUGCAAAUUUCAUUCCCCAGUCGCGACUCUAUGGCCCCUUACAGUUAUAUUCCUCCAUUUGAUUGUUUUAGGGUUUUAACAAGUAGCUCGCUCUCUUGCAUCGUAUUUUAUUUUAUUUUUUCAUUCAUAAACCAAUGUAAUUUUUAUCCUACUGUGGUUGCUGAGUGGAAUUAGUUAUUUUGUCAAUGUUAAUUCUGCACCUCCAAAAGGAGCAGAAUGACUUGCUUGUGGAAAUAGAAAACUGCAUAAAUCUCUUUUGUUAAAGAAAGCAUAAGUUCUUAAGUAAAUAUGCCUCCCUCUUGGCUGGUCCAAGAUUAAGAGUCUAUUUGUUUUUUGGUAAGUAGAGCUUGGAUAAAAAAAGUAGGAAAAAUUCAGUUGGUGAUUAUUUGUGUUAUUUGAAAUUUUGAGAACUCCUUAAUGUGAGCUUGUAUGUUCAAUUUCAUUCAUGCUUAACUAUAUUUUUAGAGAAAUAACUUGAGCAAAGAUUUGACAGAUGAUCUAAUUUAAUUGAAUGAUUCUGGGCCUAAGGUGAAGUGCUUGUCCAUGACCAGUUCCCUUAGCUCAACCAUGUGAGCUACCCAUCCCCCCGUUCAAGCUCUUACAUCGGUGAUGGAGCAGGUUCCGGCCUUUUUACUGAUUGCCUUCUAACUGCUGUUAUGCCCAUUACCAUUGUCCUGUGUUCAGAUUAAAGGAAACACUUCAAAAAUUCCAAGACCAUUGCAGAUCACGGCUUGCAGCUGCCAGUAUUCUGCUACCUACCUCAGGAGGCUUGGGCCAGGCUCACAGGUGUUUAUUCUCUUUGCUAACCAAGGUGGAGGUGAUGAAGAUAAAUGUAUAGCUCUGGUGAUGAUCAAACAUCUGGUGUUUUCACUCGCUCAUUUCAUCUGGGUCUUCAUUAUGGUGAACACCUCUUGCAUUUGAUUCAUGACUAUGGAUGGAUAGAUGGAUGCUUUAAAUGGAGAGUCUGAAAACGUUGAUUGAAAUAUAGGAUGGUGUCUAUUAUGGGUCAUAAUAGUAACAUAUAUAGUAUCUUAGUUGGAUAGAUGAGGAGUAAUACCUGUAUUCAAACAAUAAUAAUGAAAUGUGAUGUGACUGUUGAUCUGAAACUCUUAUUUUAUGGCAGCCAUAUUCUCACAGUGCAGAAUGUCAUUCUGCAGUGUAGUUCGUGAUGUGAGGGACAGUUUUGGGAGCUUAUCUAGGCGGUAGUUUUGAUGUCAGACUUACUGGCCAUCAUAGAGGAAAAUCUCAUGGUUCGCUACAGGAUUUGCAUGACCAGCCUCUAGUAAUUCAAAUUAGUUGCUGGGCAAGCUUACCCCCAGAACUACUAUUUGAUGUCAUUAGACGGCUAGAGGAGAGUGAGAAUACAUGGCCUGCUCGAAAGCAUGUUGUUUCAUGUGCUGCAGUUUGCCAGUCUUGGAGGAGUAUGUGCAAAGGAUAUUGUUAAGAGCCCGGAGUUCUCUGGCAAGCUUACAUUCCCUGUGUCCCUGAAGCAUCUUGGCCACGCGCCCACGCGAUGGGAUCAUUCAAUGUUUUAUCAAGAGAUAAAUCUAACUUAACAUACCACCUGUUCCUUUUCUUAAGCCCUGGUAAGCACUCUAUAUAUACAUGUAGUUGUCCCUUUUGUUUAACUCUGGUUUCUUCUGUUAUGACCCUGUACAUUUUAUCUGAUGUGAUGUUUCAAUUUUUAAACAGUUCAAGUUGUUGAAGUUACAGUUUAUGAAAGCCUCUCCUGUGUAGAGUUUUCAAGUUGAUCAUACCCAAUUUUAAAAUACACCAAUAGAAUAUGAUUUGCUUACAUUGCUUGUGAUUUACCUCAGUUUCAUAAUGUGACUGAGAGCUCAAGAAUCACCACCAAGUAUGUCUUCUAAGCUCUUCAACCUAUAUAUGAAUCGUUUUGUGGUAGUAUCACUAUCCAAUUUGAUAUAUAUUAAACUACCUAGUCUGCCCGACUUUAGAAGACAUGCUUUUGCAACCUGUUUUUUUUGUUUGUGAGAUCUUCAUUUUCCUUUAUGUUCGUAUGUUCAAUUGAAGGUGUUCCUCUACCAUUUGAGGCUGGUGAGAUAGAUUUUGGUGGACUAGGAACUAAUGGGCAGCAUAGCUUUUACCAAACUCAUACACUAGGUGAUAUGAUUGUAGUUCAUAAUUGUUUGUUUGAGCUUUGAAAGGUUUAAUAAACUUCUGUUAAAAGUUUAACAUUAAAAUACUUCUUGUUUGAUAGAUUUACCAAUAUUUUUAGGAGCUUAAAAGCCUAUCCUACUAUAUUUUUUACAGUUAAUUUUAGUUUUGAAAUCAUUAUAAUGAGCUAUGUGCCUAUGUCUACUACUGCAUGUUUCUUUGUAUUUCAGUUCUAUUUUUUUACCUGUUUCGAAUGCUAAUCCUUCAUUCAAAUAAUGGAUUUUGAUAUGGGCAUAAAUUCAGGAAGAAGUUUAAUAGCAUACUUAAAGUCAAGAGCACAUUUUUUUUUCUACAUGAAUUGCAGGUGCAUUUGUUGAAUGCUCACCUGAAGGAAGUACGGUCACUACUCACACUCAAGAAAAUUGUUGUUUUUAUGGCAGCCAGUCUAUAACUGCAACAGAUAUACUUCCUAGCUUGCUGCUUGACCACCCGUUGCCGCCAUUCUCUUCUGUGCUCUUGCAGAUUUGUAUGUCAAGCUUGAUGGUUAAUUCAAUGGUUUACAUGUCACAUUUCAUUCCUUUCUCAUUUUGGACAUGGGCGUUUAAGAAGAUUUGUGCAGCUGCUACGUCCAACUAAAAUUGUAAAGACUCUUCGUGUCAUUAUUUGUCAUCUAAAUACAUGCAGAUGUAGAUAUUGUCUACCCGGUGUUGGCUAAGAUGGAGGAUUGGUGACCUGUUAAUUUUAUAUGAUGUACUACUAGAAUUUUAACCUUUGUAAAUGUGCAAGAAGUCAAAUUGAUUCAAUAAUAAUUCAUGAACACAUCAACUGGACAGCAUAAAAAAACACCCAUUUUCUUGCUGAUUUUUCUUCAAAUUACGUGCGGAUUUGGCUUCAAAAAUAUUCGCAGGAAAAUUUUGUAAGUAAAACCGCAGGAAAGUUUUGAUUUAAAAAUUUUCAAAGAAAAAUUUGUAGUAAAUAGCUUUGCGGGUGUUUUAAACCACCGCUAAAUUCUCAGUAAAAUCCACAAGAAUUUUGAAGGAAAAUCCACAGGAAAAUGAGUGUUUUUAAUGUCUUCCUUUUUGUGUUCAUGAAUUAUUAUUGAAAUUGACUACUGUUUUGAACCAUUUGAGGUUUUAUGCAAUUUAUACUAAGAGGCUUGUAUUGUGUCUUGAAGACAAUUUCUAAUCUAACUGACCAUGGUUUUGAUGGAUCUAUGCUUCAAAUAGUUUUUCAUUUUCAUUUUUUACAUAUCUGCAUACUA